AUUGAACGCUGGCGGCAAGCCUUACACAUGCAAGUCGAACGGCAGCAUGGAGAGCUUGCUCUCUGAUGGCGAGUGGCGAACGGGUGAGUAAUGCAUCGGAACGUACCGUGUAAUGGGGGAUAACGUAGCGAAAGUUACGCUAAUACCGCAUACGACCUGAGGGUGAAAGCAGGGGAUCGCAAGACCUUGCGUUAUACGAGCGGCCGAUGUCAGAUUAGCUAGUUGGUGAGGUAAAGGCUCACCAAGGCGACGAUCUGUAGCGGGUCUGAGAGGAGCAUCCGCAACACUGGGACUGAGACACGGCCCAGACUCCUACGGGAGGCAGCAGUGGGGAAUUUUGGACAAUGGGGGCAACCCUGAUCCAGCCAUGCCGCGUGAGUGAAGAAGGCCUUCGGGUUGUAAAGCUCUUUCGGCCGGGAAGAAAUCGCACAGGCUAAUACUCUGUGUGGAUGACGGUACCGGCAUAAGAAGCACCGGCUAACUACGUGCCAGCCGCCGCAGUAA
This 504-nucleotide ribosomal RNA is filed under the name uncultured bacterium. Its description in RNAcentral is "partial 16S ribosomal RNA". It matches the Rfam family "Bacterial small subunit ribosomal RNA", at positions 30 to 523 of the family's 1533-position model. The record is from RNAcentral.